GUCAUGAUGGCUGAGUGGUCUAAAGCACCAGACUGAAAUUCUGGUCUCUGAAUGGAGGCGUGGGUUCAAAUCCCACUCCUGACA
Anguilla rostrata (American eel) is the source of this 84-nucleotide non-coding RNA. Lineage: Eukaryota; Metazoa; Chordata; Actinopteri; Anguilliformes; Anguillidae. The record is from the annotation of a RefSeq genome assembly.